UUUGGCGGGGCGCUUACCUGCAGUCGAGCGGGCGUAGCAAUACGUCAGCGGCAGACGGGUGAGUAACGCGUGGGAACAUACCUUUUGGUUCGGAACAACACAGGGAAACUUGUGCUAAUACCGGAUAAGCCCUUACGGGGAAAGAUUUAUCGCCGAAAGAUUGGCCCGCGUCUGAUUAGCUAGUUGGUGAGGUAAUGGCUCACCAAGGCGACGAUCAGUAGCUGGUCUGAGAGGAUGAUCAGCCACAUUGGGACUGAGACACGGCCCAAACUCCUACGGGAGGCAGCAGUGGGGAAUAUUGGACAAUGGGCGCAAGCCUGAUCCAGCCAUGCCGCGUGAGUGAUGAAGGCCCUAGGGUUGUAAAGCUCUUUUGUGCGGGAAGAUAAUGACGGUACCGCAAGAAUAAGCCCCGGCUAACUUCGUGCCAGCAGCCGCGGUAAUACGAAGGGGGCUAGCGUUGCUCGGAAUCACUGGGCGUAAAGGGUGCGUAGGCGGGUCUUUAAGUCAGGGGUGAAAUCCUGGAGCUCAACUCCAGAACUGCCUUUGAUACUGAAGAUCUUGAGUUCGGGAGAGGUGAGUGGAACUGCGAGUGUAGAGGUGAAAUUCGUAGAUAUUCGCAAGAACACCAGUGGCGAAGGCGGCUCACUGGCCCGAUACUGACGCUGAGGCACGAAAGCGUGGGGAGCAAACAGGAUUAGAUACCCUGGUAGUCCACGCCGUANACGAUGAAUGCCAGCCGUUAGUGGGUUUACUCACUAGUGGCGCAGCUAACGCUUUAAGCAUUCCGCCUGGGGAGUACGGUCGCAAGAUUAAAACUCAAUGAANUUGACGGNNNNNNNNNNNNNNUC
This 848-nucleotide ribosomal RNA is filed under the name uncultured bacterium. Its description in RNAcentral is "bacterial SSU rRNA". It matches the Rfam family "Bacterial small subunit ribosomal RNA", at positions 37 to 932 of the family's 1533-position model. The record is from RNAcentral.